AGAGUUUGAUCCUGGCUCAGGAUGAACGCUGGCGGCGUGCUUAACACAUGCAAGUCGAACGGUGAAGCCAAGCUUGCUUGGUGGAUCAGUGGCGAACGGGUGAGUAACACGUGAGCAACCUGCCCUGGACUCUGGGAUAAGCGCUGGAAACGGCGUCUAAUACUGGAUAUGAGACGUGAUCGCAUGGUCGUGUUUGGAAAGAUUUUUCGGUCUGGGAUGGGCUCGCGGCCUAUCAGCUUGUUGGUGAGGUAAUGGCUCACCAAGGCGUCGACGGGUAGCCGGCCUGAGAGGGUGACCGGCCACACUGGGACUGAGACACGGCCCAGACUCCUACGGGAGGCAGCAGUGGGGAAUAUUGCACAAUGGGCGAAAGCCUGAUGCAGCAACGCCGCGUGAGGGAUGACGGCCUUCGGGUUGUAAACCUCUUUUAGCAGGGAAGAAGCGAAAGUGACGGUACCUGCAGAAAAAGCGCCGGCUAACUACGUGCCAGCAGCCGCGGUAAUACGUAGGGCGCAAGCGUUAUCCGGAAUUAUUGGGCGUAAAGAGCUCGUAGGCGGUUUGUCGCGUCUGCUGUGAAAUCCCGAGGCUCAACCUCGGGCCUGCAGUGGGUACGGGCAGACUAGAGUGCGGUAGGGGAGAUUGGAAUUCCUGGUGUAGCGGUGGAAUGCGCAGAUAUCAGGAGGAACACCGAUGGCGAAGGCAGAUCUCUGGGCCGUAACUGACGCUGAGGAGCGAAAGGGUGGGGAGCAAACAGGCUUAGAUACCCUGGUAGU
Molecule: ribosomal RNA, 773 nt
Filed under: uncultured bacterium
Lineage: Bacteria
Description: bacterial SSU rRNA
Rfam family: Bacterial small subunit ribosomal RNA
Source: RNAcentral